GACGCAGGGGGCUAGCGUUGUUCGGAAUUACUGGGCGUAAAGCGCGUGUAGGCGGUUGUCAAAGUCGGGUGUGAAAGCCUUGAGCUUAACUCAAGAAAUGCACUCGAUACUUGGUGACUAGAGGACCGGAGAGGAUAGUGGAAUUCCCAGUGUAGUGGUGAAAUACGUAGAGAUUGGGAAGAACACCAGUGGCGAAGGCGGCUAUCUGGACGGUUUCUGACGCUAAGACGCGAAAGCGUGGGGAGCAAACAGG
This 253-nucleotide ribosomal RNA is filed under the name uncultured bacterium. RNAcentral's name for it is "partial 16S ribosomal RNA". It matches the Rfam family "Bacterial small subunit ribosomal RNA", at positions 524 to 776 of the family's 1533-position model. The record is from RNAcentral.